This 602-nucleotide ribosomal RNA is filed under the name uncultured marine eukaryote. RNAcentral's name for it is "SSU rRNA". It matches the Rfam family "Eukaryotic small subunit ribosomal RNA", at positions 617 to 1219 of the family's 1831-position model. The record is from RNAcentral.
GGUUAAAAAGCUCGUAGUUGGAUCUCGGCAAGUAGAGGGCGGUAUGCUUCGUAGCAUUACUGCCCUAUUACUUGUAGUUUUGCCAGAGGUUCCUGGGUGCUCUUAAUCGAGUGUCUAGGGAUGCUGGCAGGUUUACUUUGAAAAAAUUAGAGUGCUCAAAGCAGGCUAUUACGCUUGAAUAUUCGUGCAUGGAAUAAUAGAGUAGGAAGUUGUUUCUAUUUUGUUGGUUUUCGGAAAUCGACUUAAUGAUUAAUAGGGACAGUCGGGGGCAUUUGUAUUCAAACGACAGAGGUGAAAUUCUUGGACCGUUUGAAGACAAACUACUGCGAAAGCAUUUGCCAAGAAUGUUUUCAUUAAUCAAGAACGAAAGUUAGAGGUUCGAAGGCGAUUAGAUACCGCCCUAGUUCUAACCAUAAACGAUGCCAGCUAGCGAUCUGAGGACGUUUUUUUUGUAGACUCCUCAGGAAGCUUCCGGGGAAACCAAAGCGUGUGGGUUCCGGGGGAAGUAUGGUUGCAAAGCUGAAACUUAAAGGAAUUGACGGAAAGGCACCACCAGGAGUGGAGCCUGCGGCUUAAUUUGACUCAACACGGGAAAUCUCACC